RNAcentral lists this long non-coding RNA (2454 nucleotides) under Olea europaea (common olive). Its description in RNAcentral is "long non-coding RNA (OEUR_LNC012336)". The record is from RNAcentral. Lineage: Eukaryota; Viridiplantae; Streptophyta; Magnoliopsida; Lamiales; Oleaceae.
CAUUAGAGGCAGGAACUAGGUUACAAGGAGAUAGAGGAGGAAGAGGACAACAAAGAAAAAUGGAGAGAUUUGGUGGGAAAUCUAGACCAGGUCCAUAUUCAUUUCAGAAAUCCAACCAAGAGACAAGUUUAUCUUCUGUCUCGUAUUUUAUUCAUUAUUUUCUCUGACUUGUAAUGUAUUUUUCUAACUCUUCCCCUUUUUAUCAUUUUUAUGCAAUGAGAUAAGUUCUUUAUGUUGAGAUGAUUGAUGUAGCUUAACCUACCAUGAUUAAUUUUGAUAUUUGCUCUUUAAUGUUGAAGUACUAAUUUUCAUGUGUAUUUAUUAUUGUAUUUAGUGCUUUGAUUUAUUUAGUCCGUAAAUGAUUGUGUUGAGUGAUUUGUAUAAUGUUUGAGAAAAUAUUGUGCAUUUUAAACCAAGUAGUAAAUAACUUAAGUUCUUAUAAGAGAUAAAGAUAUACUUAUAAUCUUAUGUGAUCUAUUGAACUAUUUUCAUAAAAAUUUAAUGCUAUUAGUUGAGUUUUAAGCAACAUAGAAAUAUAGUAGGUUAAACCAAUUAUUAGAGCUAAUUUCGCUUGAUAGAUGUAAUUAGUUAAAUAAGAAAAUAGGGUCUAAUAUAAUAAUUUAGUAAUUUUCUUUUUGGCUUAUUGAAAAAUUAAUUAGGCGUCGAUUAAGUGAAAUUAUGAAUCCCGACUACAUUGUCUUUUCAACUUUCUUUAAUUAUUAGAUUUGUUAUUUUUGUAGAGUUUUUAAUUAUUUUUGAAAUCCAACUUUUAUUAUGUGUUUCAGUGUUAAAAUAAUUUUAACUAUUAUGUAAUUAAUUAAUCAUUUCUCAUUGAAUCAAUAACUCGAACUCGUUAGUCCAUUUUAUUGUUAGUACACAACAUGUGCACUUGUGGUACACAUAUUUUUUUAGUGAAUUUUUUUUUUGAUAUUGUUGUCGGUGAAUGUAUUUACUUUGAAUACUAUUUUAGUUAAUUUUAAUUUUAACAAUUUUAUUAUUAUUAUUAUUUUGGUUACUUUUUACUAUCUACCACAAUUUUGACCUCUUUUGUGUAUAAUGUUCAUUCUUUUAUUAUUCGGCUAUAUAUGCAUGAUUCUAACAAUUGUAAAGUACCAAAACUUUUGUAAUGACUAAUCUUUACAUGGACAAUGAGAUUAAACUUGGAGGAGAUUCAAGUUGUGAAAUUUGUUACUCGAUGCAUUGUACUAGGCAAUCCUUGUAUUCGUGCACUAGUGCAUUCACAUCAAAACUUCUUUGAUUUAGACAAUACUUAAGAUGUUGAAAAUAAGCAAUUGAAAAAUUUGAUGAAGGUUAUCAGCUCGUGAGAGAUCAUGUAACUAUCGAUUGGGAUGAGGAUAUCGUGCUUGUGGGAGAUGGUUCUCUCUAUUGAACGAGAAUGUACUUGGAAAAUAUUAUAAAAAACUUACCAAAUUGGAUUACAUGCCUGUGAGAGAUGCCAUGCAGUAGAACAAAUUUAAUAGGUGGGGGUAUAAUCCACUUGAAAGCGAUGAUAGGAAAGACUUAUCUUUGCUCGUGGAUUUAGAUUGGGAACCAAUCAUUCAAUUUGAGAAGAUAUCAAUUAUUAAAGAAGAGCUUGAAGAGAGUGGCAAAUUAAUCACAAAAGAACCAAACGAAGAUGUAACAACCAACGUGGGUGAAAUUAACAUACAUUCUUCUGACUUUGUUGAUUGCCUAAGAAUAAAUUUUAUGAUUAAAACCAAUGAGGAGGUGGAAGUCUACAUAGUUGAAUUUGAAUAGGAUUGAAUAGGCAAGUUGAGUUUUGGAGAAAAAAAAUGAAAAGUGGAGCAAAAUAUAUUUAAAAAAAAAAAAAACUAGGCACGUAAAACUUUCUCCAAAAGUCUCUGAUUCAAAUUUCUAAAGUUGAGUUAGGGACAUUGAAAAAAUGCUUCUUGGGAGGCUAUCUAACUUUCUAACCCAUAAUCUUUUUACUUUUUUGUCUUUUUGAUUCGAUAUAAAUUUUGUAGGCCAUUUUUUUGAAGUCCUAAUGCUCAUGGCUCUCAACAAGUUUGGGGGUGAAUUGGUAAUGAUGUGUACAAGAAGGUCACAAGCCCAAGCUCAUUAUUAGCAUCUUUCAACAACCAUCCAACUGGGAAAGUUUUGUUAACCCCCUUCUCUUUUAUAUUGUUCUUUUACAUAUUGAGGACAAUGUGCAAUUCAAGUUUGGAGGUGAUGGUUUAUUUUGUGGUGAUUUUGUUUGACUGUUAGAGAACCUUGUAGGCUAAGGAUGAUUUAUUGUUUAAAAUUGUUUUUGAUUCAUGAGUUAUGAUCAAAUAUGCUAUUUGUGCGUAUAUUUUUUUUCCAAGAAAAUUGCUUAUUUAUGUAAGAUCAUAAGUUAUCUUAAGCACAAUAGUCAUAAUCAAUUAUUGUCUAGGUGCAGAAAUUACUAAGUGAUGGAGAGAGUUUUAAAUGAGUAGAACUAGGUUAUGAGUUGUG